This 251-nucleotide ribosomal RNA is filed under the name uncultured prokaryote. RNAcentral describes it as "partial 16S ribosomal RNA". It matches the Rfam family "Bacterial small subunit ribosomal RNA", at positions 525 to 775 of the family's 1533-position model. The record is from RNAcentral.
ACGAAGGGGGCUAGCGUUGCUCGGAAUCACUGGGCGUAAAGGGUGCGUAGGCGGAUCUUUAAGUCAGAGGUGAAAGCCUGGAGCUCAACUCCAGAACUGCCUUUGAUACUGGGGAUCUUGAGUUCGGGAGAGGUGAGUGGAACUGCGAGUGUAGAGGUGAAAUUCGUAGAUAUUCGCAAGAACACCAGUGGCGAAGGCGGCUCACUGGCCCGAUACUGACGCUGAGGCACGAAAGCGUGGGGAGCAAACAG